RNAcentral lists this ribosomal RNA (295 nucleotides) under uncultured bacterium. RNAcentral's name for it is "partial 16S ribosomal RNA". It matches the Rfam family "Bacterial small subunit ribosomal RNA", at positions 334 to 645 of the family's 1533-position model. The record is from RNAcentral.
GAGUCCUACGGGAGGCAGCAGUGGGGGAUAUUGCACAAUGGGGGGAACCCUGAUGCAGCGACGCCGCGUGGGUGAAGAAGUAUUUCGGUAUGUAAAGCCCUAUCGGCAGGGAAGAAAUUGGACGGUACCUGACUAAGAAGCCCCGGCUAACUACGUGCCAGCAGCCGCGGUAAUACGUAGGGGGCAAGCGUUAUCCGGAUUUACUGGGUGUAAAGGGAGCGCAGGCGGCGCGUUAAGCCUGGUGUGAAAGCCCGCGGCCCAACCGCGGGACUGCAUUGGGAACUGGGGCGCUGGA